GCCUAACACAUGCAAGUCGAACGAACCUUCGGGUUAGUGGCGGACGGGUGAGUAACGCGUGAGAAUCUGCCCUCAGGAGGGGGAUAACGGUUGGAAACGGCCGCUAAUACCCCAUAUGCCGCGAGGUGAAAUGAAUUUCGCCUGAGGAUGAGCUCGCGUCUGAUUAGCUAGUUGGUGUAGGUAAUGGCUCACCAAGGCAUCGAUCAGUAGCUGGUCUGAGAGGAUGAUCAGCCACACUGGGACUGAGACACGGCCCAGACUCCUACGGGAGGCAGCAGUGGGGAAUUUUCCGCAAUGGGCGAAAGCCUGACGGAGCAACGCCGCGUGAGGGAUGAAGGCCUCUGGGCUGUAAACCUCUUUUAUCAAGGAAGAAGAUCUGACGGUACUUGAUGAAUAAGCCACGGCUAAUUCCGUGCCAGCAGCCGCGGUAAUA
RNAcentral lists this ribosomal RNA (433 nucleotides) under uncultured bacterium. Its description in RNAcentral is "bacterial SSU rRNA". It matches the Rfam family "Bacterial small subunit ribosomal RNA", at positions 46 to 525 of the family's 1533-position model. The record is from RNAcentral.